RNAcentral lists this long non-coding RNA (506 nucleotides) under Equus asinus (donkey). Its description in RNAcentral is "lncRNA (ENSEASG00005024612.1)". The record is from RNAcentral. Lineage: Eukaryota; Metazoa; Chordata; Mammalia; Perissodactyla; Equidae.
GUCAGGAGCGCGCGCGGGCGGGGGAGCGCGGCCGCGGUCACCAGCGAGCGCCGCGCCGCGGCCCGAGACCCGCCCUGGGGCCCGAGCCGAGCCGGCUGGCUGCGGCGCCGCCGAGGGCCUGGGGGGCCGGAGGGCCCGGGCGGCGGCUGCCCCGCGGCCGCGGCGCGCAGGGCGAGACCCCGCCAACUUCGGCGGCCGGGCCCGGGCGGGGGCCGUGGGCGCGAGCGGAGCCGCCCGGAGCCGGCGCGUCGGCGGAGCGAGUGAUCACCCUCUGCCCCAUCCCACUCUUCGCAGAAAGGAGCUGCCACGAGACUGUGAGUGUUGACCGUGCGAGGACCAAGCUCUGGCCGCCUUGUGACUGGGCUCACGUGGCUCUUAGGGUGGCCGUGCUUUUUCAUCGUUGCUAGUGUGCUGUUUGCCUGAGAAGACUCAGCCCUCCGAUGGACCCCAGGGCCGUGUAAUCCCAAGUUAAUUAAAAAUAAACUUUUAUGAAUAUUUAAGAGUCA